RNAcentral lists this ribosomal RNA (492 nucleotides) under uncultured bacterium. RNAcentral describes it as "partial 16S ribosomal RNA". It matches the Rfam family "Bacterial small subunit ribosomal RNA", at positions 29 to 507 of the family's 1533-position model. The record is from RNAcentral.
AGUGAACGCUGGCGGUAGGCCUAACACAUGCAAGUCGAACGGCAGCACAGUAAGAGCUUGCUCUUACGGGUGGCGAGUGGCGGACGGGUGAGGAAUACAUCGGAAUCUACUUUUUCGUGGGGGAUAACGUAGGGAAACUUACGCUAAUACCGCAUACGACCUACGGGUGAAAGCAGGGGAUCUUCGGACCUUGCGCGAUUGAAUGAGCCGAUGUCGGAUUAGCUAGUUGGCGGGGUAAAGGCCCACCAAGGCGACGAUCCGUAGCUGGUCUGAGAGGAUGAUCAGCCCCACUGGAACUGAGACACGGUCCAGACUCCUACGGGAGGCAGCAGUGGGGAAUAUUGGACAAUGGGCGCAAGCCUGAUCCAGCCAUACCGCAUGGGUGAAGAAGGCCUUCGGGUUGUAAAGCCCUUUUGUUGGGAAAGAAAAGCAGCAGGUUAAUACCCCGCUGUUCUGACGGUACCCAAAGAAUAAGCACCGGCUAACUUCGUG